This is a non-coding RNA of Colossoma macropomum (tambaqui), 425 nucleotides long. Lineage: Eukaryota; Metazoa; Chordata; Actinopteri; Characiformes; Serrasalmidae. The record is from the annotation of a RefSeq genome assembly.
CACACACAGCAUAAUGAUGGCCACACUGAUUCUACUGCUGACCACACUGACCUUCUUUCCUCAAGUUUCCCAUCAAGAGGUUCAGUCUCCUGAAUUUUUGUCUGUUGAAGCAGGAAAGAGUGUCUCUAUUAGCUGUACUGCAUCUAGUGGAAGUGACAGAGAAAUUAGUUGGUACCUGCUGAAACCUGGAAAAGCUCCUAAACACCUGAUUUAUAAGGCAAAUAGACGCCAGUCUGGAGUUCCAGAACGAUUCAGUGGUUCAUAUUCAGGGCUUAACUUUCAACUGACCAUCAGUGGAGUCCAGCCUGAGGAUGAAGGAGAUUAUUACUGUAUGGGGAAAUAUAGUGCUACAGUGUUCACACAGUAAAAAAGCAUUGUACAAAAACAGUGUUCGACAGUACCAAGCUCUACUGCAGGUGUUGAAG